UACGUAGGGUGCAAGCGUUGUCCGGAAUUAUUGGGCGUAAAGAGCUCGUAGGCGGUCUGUCGCGUCUGCUGUGAAAACUCGGGGCUUAACCCCGGGCCUGCAGUGGGUACGGGCAGACUAGAGUGCGGUAGGGGAGACUGGAAUUCCUGGUGUAGCGGUGAAAUGCGCAGAUAUCAGGAGGAACACCGGUGGCGAAGGCAGCUCGCUGGGACGGUACUGACGCUGAGGCGCGAAAGCGUGGGGAGCGAACAGG
RNAcentral lists this ribosomal RNA (253 nucleotides) under uncultured bacterium. RNAcentral describes it as "partial 16S ribosomal RNA". It matches the Rfam family "Bacterial small subunit ribosomal RNA", at positions 524 to 776 of the family's 1533-position model. The record is from RNAcentral.